CCUACGGGAGGCAGCAGUAGGGAAUAUUGCUCAAUGGGGGAAACCCUGAAGCAGCAACGUCGCGUGGAGGAUGAAGGUCUUCGGAUUUUAAACUCCUUUUGUUAGAGAAGAUAAUGACGGUAUCUAACGAAUAAGCACCGGCUAACGCCGUGCCAGCAGCCGCGGUAAUACGGAGGGUGCAAGCGUUACUCGGAAUUACUUGGCGUAAAGGGCGCGUAGGCGGGAUAGCAAGUCAGAUGUGAAAACUGAUGGGUUAACCCUAGAACUGCAGUUGAAGCUGUUAUUCUAGAGUAUGGGAGAGGUAGGUGGAAUGCUUGGUGUAGGGGUAAAAUCCGUAGAGAUCAAGAAGAACACUCAUUGCGAAGGCAGCCUGCUAGAACAUAACUGACGCUGAUGCGCGAAAGCGUGGGGAGCAAACAGGAUUAGAUACCCUUGUAGUC
RNAcentral lists this ribosomal RNA (440 nucleotides) under uncultured bacterium. RNAcentral's name for it is "partial 16S ribosomal RNA". It matches the Rfam family "Bacterial small subunit ribosomal RNA", at positions 338 to 795 of the family's 1533-position model. The record is from RNAcentral.